Molecule: ribosomal RNA, 521 nt
Filed under: uncultured bacterium
Lineage: Bacteria
Description: bacterial SSU rRNA
Rfam family: Bacterial small subunit ribosomal RNA
Source: RNAcentral
CCAGAGAACUUAGCAGAGAUGCUUCGGUGCCUUCGGGAACUCUGAGACAGGUGCUGCAUGGCUGUCGUCAGCUCGUGUUGUGAAAUGUUGGGUUAAGUCCCGCAACGAGCGCAACCCUUAUCCUUUGUUGCCAGCGGCUCGGCCGGGAACUCAAAGGAGACUGCCGGUGAUAAACCGGAGGAAGGUGGGGAUGACGUCAAGUCAUCAUGGCCCUUACGGCCAGGGCUACACACGUGCUACAAUGGCGCAUACAAAGAGAAGCGACCUCGCGAGAGCAAGCGGACCUCAUAAAGUGCGUCGUAGUCCGGAUUGGAGUCUGCAACUCGACUCCAUGAAGUCGGAAUCGCUAGUAAUCGUAGAUCAGAAUGCUACGGUGAAUACGUUCCCGGGCCUUGUACACACCGCCCGUCACACCAUGGGAGUGGGUUGCAAAAGAAGUAGGUAGCUUAACCUUCGGGAGGGCGCUUACCACUUUGUGAUUCAUGACUGGGGUGAAGUCGUAACAAGGUAAGCGUAGCGAG